Molecule: ribosomal RNA, 166 nt
Filed under: uncultured bacterium
Lineage: Bacteria
Description: partial 16S rRNA
Rfam family: Bacterial small subunit ribosomal RNA
Source: RNAcentral
UAGGGAAUCUUCGGGCAAUGGACGAAAGUCUGACCGAGCAACGCCGCGUGAGUGAAGAAGGUUUUCGGAUCGUAAAACUCUGUUGGUAGAGAAGAACGUUGGUGAGAGUGGAAAGCUCAUCAAGUGACGGUAACUACCCAGAAAGGGACGGCUAACUACGUUCCAG